UUGGCUUUCUCCUCGGUCCCCAUGUCUAAGGAAAGCAGUCCUCCGUAUCCGUAGUCUCUGUUCACCAUCCCUUUGGCUAGCUUGUGCUGCGGGUGGGCCUCGAGCCCUGGAUAUAUGACUUUCAUCCCCAACUCCCUCAUUCUCUCAGCAUACACAUGGGCUCUGCGGCUAUGCUCCUUCAUGCGUAGGCCCAAGUGAGGGAUCCGCUCCGAGAGCUCGAAAGCCACCUUGGCGUUCAUGGUAGGACCCAGAAGCAUCAGAGAUCCGCCACGCAGAUCCAUCAUCCCUUUCACCAGCUUCUCGCUCCCACACACGGCCCCUGUUUUUUUAUUAUGCCACGGCAAAGGAAAGGACACGUGUACGGUUAUUUGCUCCUUCACGUGAAAGAGGAACUACUUUACUACAAAACAUUACAUAACGUCGCGACAAAUCUUAAUAACGUUACCUGCGAUGAUGUCGGCCCCGCCACUGAUGAACUUGGAGAUACUGUGAACCACCACAUCAGCUCCAAGCUUGGCUGGAGAGAGCACCAUGGGGGCGAAGGUGUUGUCCACCACCACCGUCACACCCUUCUCGUGUGCCAUACGGCUCAGCUCAGGUAUGUCAGCCAUAGUCAGCGUCGGGUUUGCCACCGACUCAAAGUAGAGAACCUGUGUCCUACCCUCAACGAUCGCGUCUGCCACAGCGCCAUGGUCCGUUAUGUCGACGAAGGAGGUGGUUAUGUUGCUGGUCCGUGGCAGGAAAUGAGUUAGCAGAGCGUGUGUUCCUCCGUAGAGAGUGCUCGAUGCCACCACGUGUCCCCCGCUGCUGCACAGUUGCAGUAUCACUGAAGAUAUCGCCGACAUACCUGAAGUCCAUCCCAGUAAUUAUACCAUUAAUUACUUCGAAGAGAACAUGCACUUAAAAAAAACUAAUGAAAACUUGAAAGUCCAUCCAAAGAUUCCGUAUCAAACACUCAACUACGAUUCCAUGGGGUCUGUCUAGAUUUUAUUCUUUAUUUUAUUUAAAACUAUUAUGGAUGUAUAUAUAUAAAGUUACCGCUUGAGGUACAGUAGGCGGCUUGGGUGCCUUCGAGAGCAGCCAUCUGGCGGCUGAGGUUGAGCACGGUGGGGUUGAAGUGUCGGCUGUAUACGAAGAAGUCGUUG
Molecule: long non-coding RNA, 1145 nt
Filed under: Capsella rubella
Lineage: Eukaryota; Viridiplantae; Streptophyta; Magnoliopsida; Brassicales; Brassicaceae
Description: long non-coding RNA (CRUB_LNC003998)
Source: RNAcentral